GGUUGUAUGGUGUAAUGGUUAGCACGUAGGAUUUUGAUUCCUGAGACCUGGGUUCGAUUCCCAGUACGACCU
This 72-nucleotide transfer RNA is filed under the name Schizosaccharomyces japonicus yFS275. Its description in RNAcentral is "tRNA-Gln (TTG) (tRNA-Gln-TTG-1-1)". It matches the Rfam family "tRNA". Rfam says of the family: Transfer RNA (tRNA) molecules are approximately 80 nucleotides in length. Their secondary structure includes four short double-helical elements and three loops (D, anti-codon, and T loops). Lineage: Eukaryota; Fungi; Ascomycota; Schizosaccharomycetes; Schizosaccharomycetales; Schizosaccharomycetaceae. The record is from RNAcentral.